Molecule: long non-coding RNA, 1504 nt
Organism: Trachemys scripta elegans
Lineage: Eukaryota; Metazoa; Chordata; Testudines; Emydidae
Exons: 2
Source: RefSeq, a predicted model, not a curated record
CCGCCACCAGCCUAGCGCUACCGCGUAACGAGCUCCCCCAACCUUCGGAAAACAUCGGCUAUCGCCGCAGACAGCUCCUCCGCAUUCGGAAGUUCUCGGGUAUUUCCGUGACCCUUCACCCCUCGCCCUGCGGCCACUCCCGGUCGGAACGCUCGGAGAAAGCAGCUGUUCGGAGAGUCGGGCUGGCUGAUUGGCCAAGAGCCCCUCGCCUCUUGGGUGGCAUGGCGAGCUCCUGAGGCAUGCUCCGCUUUGCUGCAGACAGCCUGGGGGAAUCCUCGGACUUACGACGCCUGACUUGCAUCAGACGCCACUUACGACACUUUUCAGUUGACUGCCCGUUUUGCCCCUAUGAUGCUUGUUUCGCCCUUAGGAGGAAAGCCGGCAGGGAAAACAGCACACAUCACAUGCGGAGUCUCAGCCAAUCACUGAUUUCACUGUUAAAGUUUUCUGAUUGGCUGAGCCCAGGGCCGGGAGCCAAUCAAAAACAAGUGGCAAGGCUACCCGGCAACAAGCUAUCCUGGCCAUGGAAGCCAAUCAGACAAGCAACUGCAAGGGACCCACUUCCAGCUCCAUUCAUUAUAAUGCAACCACAAAAUUAUUUACAAGCAACUCUGUAAAAAGCAAGCCCAAUUCUGCGUAGUAUGUUGCCGGCAUUCUGAGCAGCUGCCUGCCUUGCUGCCUUUCUGCCCAGUCUGACUUAAGAUGCCCAGUUGCUGUUCUUUGUGAUUCUAAUUUUUUUUUUUAAUGGCAGAAAAGCGUAAAUCCGGUGCAGGUGAUGUUUCUUCUAAGAAAUACAGAACAAUUACUAUGGAAACAAAAAUGGACGUCAUUAAGAGAUCCGGAAAAGGGGAGACAGCAACUGAAAUCAGCAGAGCUUUGGACAUCCCCCGAACGACUAUCGUGAUCAUCCUGAAAGACAAGGUUAGAAUUCAGGAACAUGUCAAGGGCUCAGCUCCUAUGCAGUCAACUGUGAUAACUAAGCAGUGUGUUGGACUCAUUGCGUCGGUUGAGAAACAGUUAAUUGUUUGGCGGAGGAUCAAAAUGAAUGCCGAGCUCUUGUGAGCUUAGGCAUAAUUCAGGAAAAGGCUAGGAGUCUUUAUGAAGAGCUAAAGAGUUAUACUCAUGAGCCCUUUAAUGCAAGCAGGGGCUGGUUUAUGCGUUUUAAAGCCAGGGCCAAUUUGCCCAACAUCAGGAUCUUGACAACAAAAGUGUUAGCUGAGACAUUUCAACAUUUGGAAGCUGCCAUGUCCCUGUUGGAGGAACAUGACCCCAGCAUUGAACGCAGUGCAUCUGUGAAUAGGGGCAUAUCCAACAUGUACAGCUGCUACAGAGAAAUUUACAAGGAGAAGAGGAGAACAUUUGUUCAAACUUCCUUGGACACGUUCUUUAAGACUCCAGAGAAGCCCCCAGCCAAGAGCCCUUCAAAACAUUCUAGAAAGUCAAAGCAUAUAUGAUUUUAUAUGUUUAUUUGAAUGCUGUUUACCAAAUAAAUACAUUGAUGUUG